This 312-nucleotide unclassified non-coding RNA is filed under the name Hevea brasiliensis (rubber tree). The record is from RNAcentral. Lineage: Eukaryota; Viridiplantae; Streptophyta; Magnoliopsida; Malpighiales; Euphorbiaceae.
GUAGGUGAAUAUUCGGUUAAUCAAAAUCGUAAAUGUAGGCAAGCAAACAACGUUGAACUUUACAUGAAUCAAUUUAACUAAAAUUAGGAUAAUAUAUAGUUAUAUACUAGAAAACAGUACAAAACGAUGGCCAUUAAAAAGUUGAAAGGUAAGAGGGCUUUACUUCGAAACAAGAGUAAUCGCAGGAAACAUCCACCUUUCUGAAUCGCCGGUGAGGAUAGGAAAUUGUCGAUGAUGAUCUUCCAAAAAUGGAGGAACUGGAGCUGGAAAUUAGUAGAGACGACGAGGGAAGUGGAACGCUUCCCAUUUUCU